GGAAUCUUGGGCAAUGGGCGAAAGCCUGACCCAGCCACGCCGCGUGGAGGAAGACACCCCUAUGGGGCGUAAACUCCUUUUAUAUGGGAAGAAGGUCUUGUUCUUCAAGAAUUGACGGUACCAUAUGAAUAAGCACCGGCUAACUCCGUGCCAGCAGCCGCGGUAAUACGGAGGGUGCAAGCGUUGUCCGGAUUCACUGGGUGUAAAGGGUGUGUAGGCGGGUCGGUAAGUCAGAGGUGAAAGCCCACGGCUCAACCGUGGAAUUGCCUUUGAUACUGCCGUCCUUGAGUCUCGGAGAGGUCGCCGGAAUUCGUGGUGUAGCGGUGAAAUGCGUAGAUAUCACGAGGAACACCAGAGGCGUAGGCGGGCGACUGGACGAGUACUGACGCUGAGGCACGAAAGCGUGGGGAGCAAAC
This 416-nucleotide ribosomal RNA is filed under the name uncultured bacterium. RNAcentral describes it as "bacterial SSU rRNA". It matches the Rfam family "Bacterial small subunit ribosomal RNA", at positions 358 to 773 of the family's 1533-position model. The record is from RNAcentral.